This 492-nucleotide ribosomal RNA is filed under the name uncultured bacterium. Its description in RNAcentral is "partial 16S ribosomal RNA". It matches the Rfam family "Bacterial small subunit ribosomal RNA", at positions 28 to 507 of the family's 1533-position model. The record is from RNAcentral.
GAUGAACGCUAGCUACAGGCUUAACACAUGCAAGUCGAGGGGAAACGACAUCGAAAGCUUGCUUUUGAUGGGCGUCGACCGGCGCACGGGUGAGUAACGCGUAUCCAACCUGCCCACCACUUGGGGAUAACCUUGCGAAAGUAAGACUAAUACCCAAUGACGUCUCUAGAAGACAUCUGAAAGAGAUUAAAGAUUUAUCGGUGAUGGAUGGGGAUGCGUCUGAUUAGCUUGUUGGCGGGGUAACGGCCCACCAAGGCGACGAUCAGUAGGGGUUCUGAGAGGAAGGUCCCCCACAUUGGAACUGGGACACGGUCCAAACUCCUACGGGAGGCAGCAGUGAGGAAUAUUGGUCAAUGGACGAGAGUCUGAACCAGCCAAGUAGCGUGCAGGAUGACGGCCCUAUGGGUUGUAAACUGCUUUUAUAAGGGAAUAAAGUGAGUCUCGUGAGACUUUUUGCAUGUACCUUAUGAAUAAGGACCGGCUAAUUCCGUG